RNAcentral lists this ribosomal RNA (1662 nucleotides) under Eualus gaimardii. Its description in RNAcentral is "SSU rRNA". It matches the Rfam family "Eukaryotic small subunit ribosomal RNA". The record is from RNAcentral. Lineage: Eukaryota; Metazoa; Arthropoda; Malacostraca; Decapoda; Hippolytidae.
CAUGCAUGUGUCAGUACAGGCCGCUUCUAAGGCAAAACCGCGAAUGGCUCAUUAAACCAGUUAUGAUCCACUAGAUGGAAAACCCAUUACUCGGAUAACCCUGGUAAUUCUAGAGCUAAUACGUGCUACAUGCUCCGACCGAGAGGGAGGAGUGCUUUUAUUAGAUGAAAACCAAUCGGACCUCGGUCCGUCUCACGAGAACGUGACGAUUCUGAAUAACUUUGUGCAGAGGGCACGGUCUCCGCACCGGCCCCGUGUCUUUCGAGUUUCUGCUUUAUCAUGCUGUGGAUUGUAGGCUAUACGCCUACAGUGGCUGUAACGGAUGACGGAGAAUCAGGGUUCGAUUCCGGAGAGGGAGCCUGAGAAACGGCUACCACAUCCAAGGAAGGCAGCAGGCACGCAAAUUACCCAAUCCCAGCCCGGGGAGGUAGUGACGAAAAAUAACGAUGCGGGACACUUCUGUGUCUGCGUAAUCGGAAUGAGCACACCCCAAACCAUUGUGCAACAACCGAUUGGAGGGCAAGUCUGGUGCCAGCAGCCGCGGUAAUUCCAGCUCCAAUAGCGUAUAUUAAAGUUUUUAGAGUGCUCAAAGCAGGCUACUCUUGAAACCUAAAGCCCGAAUGUUACCUGCAUGGAAUGAUGGAAGAUGAUCUCGGUUCCAUUUUAUUGGGGGUGGGAAUCCGAGUUAAUGAUAAACAGGGACUGUCGGGGGCAUCCGUACUACGACGCGAGAGGUGAAAUUCAGUGACCGUCGUAGGACGAACGACAGCGAAAGCAUUUGCCAAGAAUGUCUUCGUUGAUCAAGAACGAAAGUUAGAGGAUCGAAGGCGAUCAGAUACCGCCCUAGUUCUAACCCUAAACGAUGCUGACUAGCAAUUCGCCGUCGUUAUUCCCAUGACGUGGCGAGACGCCCCCGGGAAACCUCAAGUCUUUGAGUUCCGGGGGUAGUAUGGUUGCAAAACUGAAACUUAAAGGAAUUGACGGAAGGGCACCACCAGGAGUGGAGCCUGCGGCUUAAUUUGACUCAACACGGGGAACCUCACCAGGCCCGGACACCAGAAGGAUUGACAGACCAAGAGCUCUUUCUCGAUUUGGUGGGUGGUGGUGCAUGGCCGUUCUUAGUUGGUGGAGUGAUUUGUCUGGUUAAUUCCGGUAACGAACGAGACUCUGGCCUACUAACUAGUCGACGGGGUCUAUCGCCUCUUCGGGGCAAGGGCCCCGGUCGACAAUGUCUUCUUAGAGGGAUGAGCGGCGAGUAUAGCCGCAGGAGACUGAGCAAUAACAGGUCUGUGAUGCCCUUAGAUGUCCUGGGCCGCACGCGCGCUACACUGAAUGGGUUAGCGGGUUCUCCUUCUCCGAGAGGAGCGGGAAAUCGCGUGAAAACCAUUCGUGAUAGGGAUUGGGGCUUGCAAUUGUUUCCCAUCAACGAGGAAUUCCCAGUAAGCGCGAGUCAUCAGCUCGCGCUGAUUAAGUCCCUGCCCUUUGUACACACCGCCCGUCGCUACUACCGAUUGAAUGGAUUAGUGAGGCCUUCGGACUGGCGGUCUCGGACUGGGCUCCGCCCGCCCGGCCCUCGCGGUCGGCGGCGGACCCGCCCUGACGAGCCGGAAAGAUGUCCAAACUUGUCUAUUUAGAGGAAGUAAAAGUCGUAACAAGGUUUCC